RNAcentral lists this ribosomal RNA (254 nucleotides) under uncultured bacterium. RNAcentral describes it as "partial 16S ribosomal RNA". It matches the Rfam family "Bacterial small subunit ribosomal RNA", at positions 524 to 776 of the family's 1533-position model. The record is from RNAcentral.
UACGGAGGAGGCAAGCGUUAUCCGGAAUUAUUGGGCGUAAAGCGUCCGUAGGUGGCUCUCUCAAGUCUGCGGUCAAAGACCGGGGCUCAACCCUGGAAAGGCCGUGGAAACUGGUGAGCUAGAGUGCGGUAGGGGUAGAGGGAAUUCCCGGUGUAGCGGUGAAAUGCGUAGAGAUCGGGAAGAACAUCGGUGGCGAAAGCGCUCUGCUGGACUGCAACUGACACUCAGGGACGAAAGCUAGGGGAGCGAAUGGG